RNAcentral lists this ribosomal RNA (515 nucleotides) under uncultured bacterium. RNAcentral's name for it is "partial 16S ribosomal RNA". It matches the Rfam family "Bacterial small subunit ribosomal RNA", at positions 28 to 523 of the family's 1533-position model. The record is from RNAcentral.
GAUGAACGCUGGCGGCGUGCCUAAUACAUGCAAGUCGAGCGAAUGGAUUAAGAGCUUGCUCUUAUGAAGUUAGCGGCGGACGGGUGAGUAACACGUGGGUAACCUGCCCAUAAGACUGGGAUAACUCCGGGAAACCGGGGCUAAUACCGGAUAACAUUUUGAACCGCAUGGUUCGAAAUUGAAAGGCGGCUUCGGCUGUCACUUAUGGAUGGACCCGCGUCGCAUUAGCUAGUUGGUGAGGUAACGGCUCACCAAGGCAACGAUGCGUAGCCGACCUGGGAGGGUGCUGGGCCAACAUGGGACUGAGCAACGGCCCAGACUCCUACGGGAGGCAGCAGUAGGGAAGCUUCCGCAAUGGACGAAAGGCUGACGGGGCAACGCCGCGGGAGUGAUGAAGGCUUUCGGGUCGUAAAACUCUGUUGUUAGGGAAGAACAAGUGCUAGUUGAAUAAGCUGGCACCUUGACGGUACCUAACCAGAAAGCCACGGCUAACUACGUGCCAGCAGCCGCCGCCG